RNAcentral lists this ribosomal RNA (467 nucleotides) under uncultured bacterium. Its description in RNAcentral is "partial 16S ribosomal RNA". It matches the Rfam family "Bacterial small subunit ribosomal RNA", at positions 28 to 507 of the family's 1533-position model. The record is from RNAcentral.
GAUGAACGCUGGCGGCGCGCCUAACACAUGCAAGUCGAACGAUUAAAGCACCUUCGGGUGUGUAUAAAGUGGCGAACGGCCGAGUAACACGUGGGCAACCUGCCCCUUUCAUUGGGAUAGCCACGGGAAACCGUGGAUAAUACCGAAUACUUCGAGACUUCCGCAUGGAAGACUCGAGAAAGCUCCGGCGGAGAGGGAUGGGCCCGCGGCCUGUUAGCUUGUUGGUGGGGUAACGGCCUACCAAGGCAAUGAUGGGUAGCUGGGUUGAGAGACCGACCAGCCAGAUUGGGACUGAGACACGGCCCAGACUCCUACGGGAGGCAGCAGUGGGGAAUCUUGCACAAUGGGCGAAAGCCUGAUGCAGCGACGCCGCGUGCGGGAUGAAGGCCUUCGGGUUGUAAACCGCUUUCAGCAGGGACGAGGCGAAAGUGGCGGUACCUGCAGAAGAAGCCCCGGCUAACUACGUG